AGAUACCAUAGAUAUUAAACCGAAGAAAUAUAAGCUUCAAGAUGGUGAUCGAGAGCAUGAUCAUGAUCGUGAUUUUGAUCUUGGCUGGGACCAUGAUCAAGAUGUUGAUGGUGAAAGUCAUCAUCGUGAUUGGGACCGGGACCGGGACCGGGACCGGGACCGGGAUAGAGAUCGGGAUCGUGAUCAUGACCGUGAUCGUGAUUGGGAUCGGGAUAGAGACCGUGAACGAGAACGGGACCACGAGCGUGACCGUGACAGACAUCUUGACUAUGAUGAUCGAAGUGCUAUUAGAUACAAAGAUAGCAGGGGAAGGAAGAUAUCUCCUGAUGA
This 330-nucleotide unclassified non-coding RNA is filed under the name Hevea brasiliensis (rubber tree). The record is from RNAcentral. Lineage: Eukaryota; Viridiplantae; Streptophyta; Magnoliopsida; Malpighiales; Euphorbiaceae.